GUAUUUGAUGGCCACCAAUAUGCCAAGCAUGUGGCAACACGAUUACAAUAAAACAUAUCUUCGUAGAAUGCAAAAUACACGAACAACUAAGAGAAGAACUAAUCAUAAGCCAUAACGUCAGAACAAGUCCUUGGUCCAAAUCCAGACAACAAAGUGCUAGAAAAGAAUACUGGUGUUACCACAUGAAGGUGUUAAAAGAAUUGAUAAUAUGUGAAGAUAAGUAUUUGACAACACUAAAAUGGUGCGAGCAAAAAUGUAAUCCUUCCAAAAAAAAUGAAAACAGCACAGAUAUAUCAG
This is a long non-coding RNA of Rhopalosiphum maidis (corn leaf aphid), 297 nucleotides long. RefSeq lists it as uncharacterized. The transcript has 3 exons. The record is from RefSeq and is a predicted model, not a curated record. Lineage: Eukaryota; Metazoa; Arthropoda; Insecta; Hemiptera; Aphididae.